This 1011-nucleotide ribosomal RNA is filed under the name Triticum aestivum (bread wheat). RNAcentral's name for it is "partial small subunit ribosomal RNA". Lineage: Eukaryota; Viridiplantae; Streptophyta; Magnoliopsida; Poales; Poaceae. The record is from RNAcentral.
AUGACCCUGCACUCUUCAUUCAUACAUCUGAGCAUGGCCGUACAUUGCUUCUACUUUGUAGAUGACAUGUUGAUCACUGGAGAUGAUGUUGGGUAUAUUGAUUUUGUUAAGAAAAAAUUGAGUGAACAAUUUAAGAUGUCAGAUUUGGGGUCUCUCAGCUAUUUUCUCGGGAUUGAGGUUGAGCACACCGAUGAUGGUUACUAUAUCUCCCAGCAAAAGUACACUCAGGAUUUGAUUCUUCGCUCAGGUCUCACUGACACGCGCAUUGCUGCUACACCUAUGGAGCUUCAUCUGCAGUUGCGUCCUACUGAUGGCACUCCUCUUGAGGAUCCCUCUCGCUACCGUCACAUCGUCGGCAGUCUAGUGUACCUCACAGUGACCAGACCUGACAUCGCACAUGCAGUCCAUAUUCUCAGUCAAUUUGUCUGUGCUCCCACCUCAGUUCAUCAUGGUCACCUAUUCCGAGUCCUUAGGUAUUUAAGGGGAACUACAUCUCGCCGCUUGUUCUAUGCUAAUUCCAGUCAGCUCCAGCUUCAUGCUUACUCUGAUUCCACUUGGGCGAGUGAUCCUAUUGAUCGUCGCUCGGUCACUGGCUAUUGCAUAUUUCUUGGUACAUCUCUCAUUGCAUGGAAAUCAAAGAAGCAAACUGCCGUGUCUCGCUCCAGCGCCGAGGCAGAGCUUAGGGCUCUCUCUACUACUACAGCAGAGAUUGUAUGGCUUCGCUGGCUAUUGGAUGAUCUUGGUGUCUUAUGUCAUACACCAACACCGCUUCUUUGUGACAGCACUGCUGCUAUUCAGAUUGCUAAUGACCCAGUCAAGCAUGAGUUGACCAAACACAUUGGUGUGGAUGCAUUUUUCACUCGAUCUCAUUGUCAACAAUCCACUGUUAAGCUACAAUAUGUCCCAUCAGAGCUUCAAGUCGCAGAUUUCUUCACCAAGGCACAAACUAGAGAUCAGCAUAGGUUUCACACUCUCAAACUUGGUGUAUCAGAUGCUCCUGACCCACCUUAA